Molecule: long non-coding RNA, 1360 nt
Organism: Rhineura floridana
Lineage: Eukaryota; Metazoa; Chordata; Lepidosauria; Squamata; Rhineuridae
Exons: 3
Source: RefSeq, a predicted model, not a curated record
CAGCCCAGAUACAUCCCGUCGAAUUACCCUAGUGGUGUGGACGGCGAGUGGCAGAAUAGCCAUGGAUAGCCGUGAUGACUGACAUAAUGGGAAUGCGUGGAAGCUAAUUUGCCAGCGAUGCACCCAGGAACGAGUGGAUCUGAAUGACUCGUUUGUGAUAUAAAGCCCCCGUCUGGAAGGGCUCUGUAUAAAAGAAAGCGUUAUAGGAAGGUCCUGUGUCAAUUCCGCAUCUAGCUCUUGACUCAAAAACGGCAGGAAAAGAGAUCAUGAAUUAGAAAAAUCACUUACAGCCAGUCAGCAGCUUCGCGGUCCGGGGAGAUCGGUCCACGACGAUCAACACACAAGAUUUUUGACUGGAGACACCCAUUGAUAGGCCACCCACACUUGAUUGUGCUGACAAACAGCAAUGGGUUCAGUCCCCAUGAAGAUUCUACUGAAUCACCUUACUGGUCACCCAGAUGAACCAACUAACACCCGGCCCUUCAUCCUCAUCGUCGUCUUCACCACCAUCACCUUGGUGGGGAUGCCCCAUUGGGCUGGAGCUUUCAACCCUCAGCACUUCCUGUUCCUGCCCUCUGAUGCUGUUCCAGUCUUUGUCCAUCACUCCAAGCACAUCGUCCAAGAUGGAAGGCCCCAAGUCCAACUGGAAAGAGAGAAGGGAUUCAGCAUGUUCCAAUUUGGGGCUCGCCAAGGAGAACUGCUGCUGCAGGUCCCAGUCUCCUCCAUUAGGGGGCUCCUGUGCCUGCUGCUCUGCCGCCUCUGGGUGCUGCAGUACCACAAAGCUGCCAUCAGGGGUUGACGUUGCUGGGCUUUGAACUAAGCCAUUCCCGCUACCAGGGGGAGACAACAGUUCAAAUCGGCCAGAAACAUCUCCAGGACUAGAGAAGGCCCCAGGGGACACGGACACAUCAGGAGGCAGCCCAUUGGCCUUGGAGCCCCCAUGGUUGCUGAGGAAAGACGUGUCACCAAAAGCAUCUCCACCACGGCCAAUGUGCAUCGUGUGCCGGAAAUCACCCAAGGGGGCGCUGAUCAUCGCCCGAUCCAGACGUGGCCGCUUCUUUGAGUGGGAGACAGGGGACUGCUUGAGGAUGGGCAUCUGGGAAGAAAGAAAGAGAGAAAUGUGUGAGAAAGAGAAGGGAACCUUUCCAUUAGAGCCAACAUAGUCUGCCAGUUAGAGCUGGGAGAUGUGGAUCCGAGUCCAAUCUCUGCCACAGAUUCAUCAUUUGGCCUUGGGCAAGUCUUUUACAGCUUAUGUCCCCGUCUUCAAAAUGAAAACAAUGACCUACCGCACAGGGCUUUGUGAAGAUACAAACUGCAAAUCCUUUCUGCAUUUUUUAAAUUAAAAAACUGUUUAAAAAUA